Molecule: ribosomal RNA, 253 nt
Filed under: uncultured bacterium
Lineage: Bacteria
Description: partial 16S ribosomal RNA
Rfam family: Bacterial small subunit ribosomal RNA
Source: RNAcentral
UACGUAGGGGGCAAGCGUUGUCCGGAAUCAUUGGGCGUAAAACGCGUGUAGGCGGCCAGAUAGGUCUGCUGUGAAAACUCGAGGCUCAACCUCGAGACGUCGGCGGAAACCCUCUGGCUAGAGUCCGGAAGAGGAGAGUGGAAUUCCUGGUGUAGCGGUGAAAUGCGCAGAUAUCAGGAAGAACACCCGUGGCGAAGGCGGCUCUCUGGGACGGUACUGACGCUGAGACGCGAAAGCGUGGGGAGCAAACAGG